AUGGGAUCCCACAGAACCCCAUAGAACCCGAUGGGACCCCACAGAACCCCACAGAACUCUAUAGGACCCCAUAGAACCCGAUGGGACCCCACAGAACCCCAUAGACCUCUAUAGGACCCCAGAGAAUCCCAUAGAACUUUAUGGGACCCCACAGAACCCCAUAGAACUCUAUAGGAACCCACAAAAGCCACAAAACUCUAUAGGACCCCAAUGGAACCGCAGAACCCUACAGGAUCCCACAGAACCCCACAGAACCCUAUAGGAUCCCAUAGGACCCCCAUAACCCCACAGAACCCCCCAGAACCCUAUAGGAUCCCAUAGGACCCCCAGAACCCCCCAGGACCCCAUAGAACCCCACAGGACCCAGAGAACCCCAUAAAACCCCACAGAACCCCCCAAACCCCACAGAACCCCAUAGGGUUCUGUGGGGUUCCGGAGGUCCUAUGGGAUCCUAUAGGAUUCACGGGGGUUCUAUGGGGAUCUAUGGGGUUCUGUGGGCUUCUAUGGGGUCCUAUGGGAUCCUAUAGGGUUCUGUGGGGUACGAUAGGGUUCUAUGGGGUCCUAUGGGAUCCUAUAGGGUUCUAUGGGGUUCUGUGGGGUGCUAUAGGGUUCUGUGGGGUCCUAUGGGGUUCUGUGGGGUUCUAUGGGGGUUCUGUGGGGUUCUAUGGGAUCCUAUGGGGGUCUAUGGGGUUCUGUGGGAGUCUAUGGGGUUCUGUGGGAUCCUAUAGGGUUCUGUGGGGGUCCUAUGGGGGUCUAUGGGGUCCUAUGGGGGCCCUAUAGGGGUCUAUGGGGUUCUGCGGGAUCCUAUAGAGGUCAAUGGGGUUCUGUGGGAUCCUAUAGGGGUCUAUGGGUUCCUCUGGGUGUCCUAUAGCGAUCAAUGGGAUUCGACGGCGUUUUGGGACCCCCCCCGAAAUCCCCCCCGCCCCAAAAAGGGACCCCAAAACGGCCCCAAAUCCCAAAACCCCCCCAAAAAAGCCCCAAAUUCCCCCCCUACAUUCCCUCCCC
This 1005-nucleotide long non-coding RNA is filed under the name Gallus gallus (chicken). RNAcentral's name for it is "lncRNA (ENSGALG00010000755.1)". Lineage: Eukaryota; Metazoa; Chordata; Aves; Galliformes; Phasianidae. The record is from RNAcentral.